Molecule: ribosomal RNA, 491 nt
Filed under: uncultured bacterium
Lineage: Bacteria
Description: partial 16S ribosomal RNA
Rfam family: Bacterial small subunit ribosomal RNA
Source: RNAcentral
AGUGAACGCUGGCGGUAGGCCUAACACAUGCAAGUCGAACGGCAGCACAGUAAGAGCUUGCUCUUACGGGUGGCGAGUGGCGGACGGGUGAGGAAUACAUCGGAAUCUACUUUUUCGUGGGGGAUAACGUAGGGAAACUUACGCUAAUACCGCAUACGACCUACGGGUGAAAGCAGGGGAUCUUCGGACCUUGCGCGAUUGAAUGAGCCGAUGUCGGAUUAGCUAGUUGGCGGGGUAAAGGCCCACCAAGGCGACGAUCCGUAGCUGGUCUGAGAGGAUGAGCAGCCACACUGGAACUGAGACACGGUCCAGACGCCUACGGGAGGCAGCAGUGGGGAAUAUUGGACAAUGGGCGCAAGCCUGAUCCAGCCAUACCGCGUGGGUGAAGAAGGCCUUCGGGUUGUAAAGCCCUUUUGUUGGGAAAGAAAAGCAGCAGGUUAAUACCCCGCUGUUCUGACGGUACCCAAAGAAUAAGCACCGGCUAACUUCGU